Molecule: ribosomal RNA, 497 nt
Filed under: uncultured bacterium
Lineage: Bacteria
Description: partial 16S ribosomal RNA
Rfam family: Bacterial small subunit ribosomal RNA
Source: RNAcentral
GAUGAACGCUGGCGGCGUGCCUAAUACAUGCAAGUCGAGCGAACAGACGAUGAGCUUGCUCCUCUUUCGUUAGCGGCGGACGUGUGAUUAACUCGUGUAUAACCUUCCUAUAAUACUGGUAUACCUUCGGGUAUCCGUAUCUAAUACCGUAUAAUAUAUUUAACCGCAUGUUUCAUUAGUUAUUUUCUUUUUUGCUGUCUCUUUUAGCUCUUUCCGCGCCGCAUUUGCUAGUUGGUAUGGUAACGGCUUACCAAGGUAACGAUGCGUAUCCGACGUGAGCGGGUGAUCGGCCACACUGGAACUGAGACACGGUCCAGACUCCUACGGGAGGCAGCAGUAGGGAAUCGUCCGCAAUGGGCGAAAGCCUGACGGAGCAACGCCGCGUGAGUGAUGAAGGUCUUCGGAUCGUAAAACUCUGUUAUUAGGGAAGAACAAAUGUGUAAGUAACUAUGCACGUCUUGACGGUACCUAAUCAGAAAGCCACGGCUAACUACGUG